Molecule: ribosomal RNA, 253 nt
Filed under: uncultured bacterium
Lineage: Bacteria
Description: partial 16S ribosomal RNA
Rfam family: Bacterial small subunit ribosomal RNA
Source: RNAcentral
UACGAAGGGGGCUAGCGUUGCUCGGAAUCAUUGGGCGUAAAGCGCACGUAGGCGGAUCUUUAAGUCAGGGGUGAAAUCCCGGAGCUCAACUCCGGAACUGCCUUUGAUACUGGGGAUCUUGAGUCCGGGAGAGGUGAGUGGAACUGCGAGUGUAGAGGUGAAAUUCGUAGAUAUUCGCAAGAACACCAGUGGCGAAGGCGGCUCACUGGCCCGGUACUGACGCUGAGGUGCGAAAGCGUGGGGAGCGAACAGG